CAGGUGCGAAAGCGUGGGGAGCAAACAGGAUUAGAUACCCUGGUAGUCCACGCCGUAAACGAUGUCGAUUUGGAGGUUGUGCCCUUGAGGCGUGGCUUCCGGAGCUAACGCGUUAAAUCGACCGCCUGGGGAGUACGGCCGCAAGGUUAAAACUCAAAUGAAUUGACGGGGGCCCGCACAAGCGGUGGAGCAUGUGGUUUAAUUCGAUGCAACGCGAAGAACCUUACCUGGUCUUGACAUCCACAGAACUUUCCAGAGAUGGAUUGGUGCCUUCGGGAACUGUGAGACAGGUGCUGCAUGGCUGUCGUCAGCUCGUGUUGUGAAAUGUUGGGUUAAGUCCCGCAACGAGCGCAACCC
RNAcentral lists this ribosomal RNA (357 nucleotides) under Klebsiella pneumoniae. RNAcentral's name for it is "bacterial SSU rRNA". It matches the Rfam family "Bacterial small subunit ribosomal RNA", at positions 748 to 1104 of the family's 1533-position model. The record is from RNAcentral. Lineage: Bacteria; Pseudomonadati; Pseudomonadota; Gammaproteobacteria; Enterobacterales; Enterobacteriaceae.